CAGUACCGUGAGGGAAAGGCGAAAAGAACCCCGGCGAGGGGAGUGAAAAAGAACCUGAAACCGUGUACGUACAAGCAGUGGGAGCCUCUUUAUGGGGUGACUGCGUACCUUUUGUAUAAUGGGUCAGCGACUUAUAUUCUGUAGCAAGGUUAACCGAAUAGGGGAGCCGAAGGGAAACCGAGUCUUAACUGGGCGUUAAGUUGCAGGGUAUAGACCCGAAACCCGGUGAUCUAGCCAUGGGCAGGUUGAAGGUUGGGUAACACUAACUGGAGGACCGAACCGACUAAUGUUGAAAAAUUAGCGGAUGACUUGUGGCUGGGGGUGAAAGGCCAAUCAAACCGGGAGAUAGCUGGUUCUCCCCGAAAGCUAUUUAGGUAGCGCCUCGUGAAUUCAUCUCCGGGGGUAGAGCACUGUUUCGGCAAGGGGGUCAUCCCGACUUACCAACCCGAUGCAAACUGCGAAUACCGGAGAAUGUUAUCACGGGAGACACACGGCGGGUGCUAACGUCCGUCGUGAAGAGGGAAACAACCCAGACCGCCAGCUAAGGUCCCAAAGUCAUGGUUAAGUGGGAAACGAUGUGGGAAGGCCCAGACAGCCAGGAUGUUGGCUUAGAAGCAGCCAUCAUUUAAAGAAAGCGUAAUAGCUCACUGGUCGAGUCGGCCUGCGCGGAAGAUGUAACGGGGCUAAACCAUGCACCGAAGCUGCGGCAGCGACACUAUGUGUUGUUGGGUAGGGGAGCGUUCUGUAAGCCUGUGAAGGUGUACUGUGAGGUAUGCUGGAGGUAUCAGAAGUGCGAAUGCUGACAUAAGUAACGAUAAAGCGGGUGAAAAGCCCGCUCGCCGGAAGACCAAGGGUUCCUGUCCAACGUUAAUCGGGGCAGGGUGAGUCGACCCCUAAGGCGAGGCCGAAAGGCGUAGUCGAUGGGAAACAGGUUAAUAUUCCUGUACUUGGUGUUACUGCGAAGGGGGGACGGAGAAGGCUAUGUUGGCCGGGCGACGGUUGUCCCGGUUUAAGCGUGUAGGCUGAUUUUCCAGGCAAAUCCGGAAAAUCAAGGCUGAGGCGUGAUGACGAGGCACUACGGUGCUGAAGCAACAAAUGCCCUGCUUCCAGGAAAAGCCUCUAAGCAUCAGGUAACAUCAAAUCGUACCCCAAACCGACACAGGUGGUCAGGUAGAGAAUACCAAGGCGCUUGAGAGAACUCGGGUGAAGGAACUAGGCAAAAUGGUGCCGUAACUUCGGGAGAAGGCACGCUGAUAUGUAGGUGAAGCGACUUGCUCGUGGAGCUGAAAUCAGUCGAAGAUACCAGCUGGCUGCAACUGUUUAUUAAAAACACAGCACUGUGCAAACACGAAAGUGGACGUAUACGGUGUGACGCCUGCCCGGUGCCGGAAGGUUAAUUGAUGGGGUUAGCGGUAACGCGAAGCUCUUGAUCGAAGCCCCGGUAAACGGCGGCCGUAACUAUAACGGUCCUAAGGUAGCGAAAUUCCUUGUCGGGUAAGUUCCGACCUGCACGAAUGGCGUAAUGAUGGCCAGGCUGUCUCCACCCGAGACUCAGUGAAAUUGAACUCGCUGUGAAGAUGCAGUGUACCCGCGGCAAGACGGAAAGACCCCGUGAACCUUUACUAUAGCUUGACACUGAACAUUGAGCCUUGAUGUGUAGGAUAGGUGGGAGGCUUUGAAGUGUGGACGCCAGUCUGCAUGGAGCCGGCCUUGAAAUACCACCCUUUAAUGUUUGAUGUUCUAACGUUGGCCCCUGAUCGGGGUUGCGGACAGUGUCUGGUGGGUAGUUUGACUGGGGCGGUCUCCUCCUAAAGAGUAACGGAGGAGCACGAAGGUUGGCUAAUCCUGGUCGGACAUCAGGAGGUUAGUGCAAUGGCAUAAGCCAGCUUGACUGCGAGCGUGACGGCGCGAGCAGGUGCGAAAGCAGGUCAUAGUGAUCCGGUGGUUCUGAAUGGAAGGGCCAUCGCUCAACGGAUAAAAGGUACUCCGGGGAUAACAGGCUGAUACCGCCCAAGAGUUCAUAUCGACGGCGGUGUUUGGCACCUCGAUGUCGGCUCAUCACAUCCUGGGGCUGAAGUAGGUCCCAAGGGUAUGGCUGUUCGCCAUUUAAAGUGGUACGCGAGCUGGGUUUAGAACGUCGUGAGACAGUUCGGUCCCUAUCUGCCGUGGGCGCUGGAGAACUGAGGGGGGCUGCUCCUAGUACGAGAGGACCGGAGUGGACGCAUCACUGGUG
This 2233-nucleotide ribosomal RNA is filed under the name human gut metagenome. RNAcentral describes it as "bacterial LSU rRNA". It matches the Rfam family "Bacterial large subunit ribosomal RNA", at positions 496 to 2714 of the family's 2925-position model. The record is from RNAcentral.